GCCGCCGAAGGUGGGACAGAUGAUUGGGGUGAAGUCGUAACAAGGUAGCCGUAUCGGAAGGUGCGGCUGGAUCACCUCCUUUCUAAGGAA
RNAcentral lists this ribosomal RNA (90 nucleotides) under Exiguobacterium sp. IPBC4. Its description in RNAcentral is "partial 16S ribosomal RNA". It matches the Rfam family "Bacterial small subunit ribosomal RNA", at positions 1452 to 1533 of the family's 1533-position model. The record is from RNAcentral. Lineage: Bacteria; Bacillati; Bacillota; Bacilli; Caryophanales. RNAcentral also lists the same sequence under 14 other names.